This 247-nucleotide ribosomal RNA is filed under the name uncultured bacterium. RNAcentral's name for it is "partial 16S ribosomal RNA". It matches the Rfam family "Bacterial small subunit ribosomal RNA", at positions 523 to 769 of the family's 1533-position model. The record is from RNAcentral.
AUACGGAGGGUGCAAGCGUUGUUCGGAAUCACUGGGCGUAAAGCGCGUGUAGGCGGCUUAGUAGGUCAGAUGUGAAAGCCCUCGGCUCAACCGGGGAAGUGCAUUGGAAACUGGACAACUUGAGUACGGGAGAGGGUAGUGGAAUUCCGAGUGUAGGGGUGAAAUCCGUAGAUAUUCGGAGGAACACCGGUGGCGAAGGCGGCUACCUGGACCGAUACUGACGCUGAGACGCGAAAGCGUGGGGAGC